UGGGGAAUAUUGCACAAUGGGGGAAACCCUGAUGCAGCGACGCCGCGUGAACGAAGAAGGUAUUCGUAUCGUAAAGUUCUGUCCUAUGGGAAGAUAAUGACAGUACCAUAGAAGAAAGCUCCGGCUAAAUACGUGCCAGCAGCCGCGGUAAUACGUAUGGAGCGAGCGUUGUCCGGAAUUAUUGGGCGUAAAGGGUACGCAGGCGGUUUAAUAAGUCGAAUGUUAAAGAUCGGGGCUCAACCCCGUAAAGCAUCGGAAACUGAUAAACUUGAGUAGUGGAGAGGAAAGUGGAAUUCCUAGUGUAGUGGUGAAAUACGUAGAUAUUAGGAGGAAUACCAGCAGCGAAGGCGACUUUCUGGACACAAACUGACGCUGAGGUACGAAAGCGUGGGGAGCAAACAGG
RNAcentral lists this ribosomal RNA (403 nucleotides) under bacterium. Its description in RNAcentral is "partial 16S ribosomal RNA". It matches the Rfam family "Bacterial small subunit ribosomal RNA", at positions 355 to 776 of the family's 1533-position model. The record is from RNAcentral.